RNAcentral lists this unclassified non-coding RNA (377 nucleotides) under uncultured bacterium. Its description in RNAcentral is "contains 16S-23S intergenic spacer region". The record is from RNAcentral.
UCCGGUUUGUCACCGGCAGUCCCAUUAGAGUGCCCAACUUAAUGUGGCAACUAAUGGCAAGGGUUGCGCUCGUUGCGGGACUUAACCCAACAUCUCACGACACGAGCUGACGACAGCCAUGCAGCACCUGUCACCAGGUUCCUUACGGCACCCCCAAAUCUCUUCGGGGUUCCUGGGAUGUCAAGGCCAGGUAAGGUUCUUCGCGUUGCGUCGUAUUAAGCAACAUGCUCCGCCGCUUGUGCGGGCCCCCGUCGAUUCCUUUGAGUUUUAGCCUUGCGGCCGUACUCCCCAGGCGGGGCACUUAAUGCGUUAGCUACGGCACAGAUCCCGUUGGUUGAGACCCACACCUAGUGCCCAACGUUUACGGCGUGGACUAC